UCGGCCUCUCGGUUCAGCCCAGGACCCCAGCAUUUCCAGGCUUCUUUCCUGGUCCCAGGAAACGUGAACCAAAGAUGGUUCAGCUCAGCAGACCACCUCGAGCCAGGUUCGAGGUAUCCACGGCGGCGAGUCUUUUUUGCUCAAGGGAAAGUUAAACCAUGCUUUUUGCAGAAUGGGGAGAUCGUGGCGCCCCUUCCCUCAAAUCUCACGCAGGAUAAAUAAGGUUCUCCCGCUCCCCAGGCCAUCGCCACUAUCCCCCACCCUACCCCCACUCGGCGAUGGGUGUGGACAGGGCGGGGGAAGGCUAUAAGGGAGCUUAAAGCGUGAGGUCAUGGACCCAGGAGUCUGCUGCCAAAAGCGGCCGAGGUUUUUGUGUAUUUUGAGGGGUAACGGUUCUCCAUCUUCAACAGUGAAUAAAGCCAAGCUCUGAAGCCCCCUUGUGAUUUCGCCUCUACGGACCACUUCACCCUCACAGCUCCUCCUCCUAUACCAUGCAGACAGAAGUGGAGGAUCAGAGAGAUUACAUAACUUGUUCCAAUUUUCAUCCAGGCCAACCUGAGCCCGAAACCUCUGUCUUAACCACUUGCCUCUCUCUGCAACAAAGAAAAAAUUCUGGGAGCCUGAGGAGAAGGAAUAAAAUAGAGUCUUUGGACUUGAGCAGACCUUAGUUCAAAUUCUGAGUCUGGCCCCCACCAGCAAUGAGAUCUUGGAGAGGUUUCUUAACUUCUCUCAGCCCCAGGUCACCCACCUUUGAACUGGGACCAUACAUUUUUCAUUGGCUUAAUGUAAAGGUCAAAUGCAUGUAAAUAAUGCUUUUUAAAAUGCCUAGUAAACCACAUGCAAUGUUUAGAUCUUGUGUGGCUCUGGUUUGAAUAAACCAAUGUCAAAAAGACAUUGUUGAGACAACUAGGGUAAUAAAAUGUAACUUGACAUAGAUGUUAAAUUAUUAAUUUUAUUAGAUAUGGUAAUGGCGUUGUCAUUAGGAUUUUUUCCUCAGUUCUUAUCUGUUAGAGAUGCAUAAUGAGGAAUUUUGGGCGAAAGUAUAUCUAGGAUUUAUCUUCAAAUACUCCAAUCACCUCU
Molecule: long non-coding RNA, 1080 nt
Organism: Rhinolophus ferrumequinum (greater horseshoe bat)
Lineage: Eukaryota; Metazoa; Chordata; Mammalia; Chiroptera; Rhinolophidae
Exons: 3
Source: RefSeq, a predicted model, not a curated record